RNAcentral lists this ribosomal RNA (253 nucleotides) under uncultured bacterium. RNAcentral's name for it is "partial 16S ribosomal RNA". It matches the Rfam family "Bacterial small subunit ribosomal RNA", at positions 524 to 776 of the family's 1533-position model. The record is from RNAcentral.
UACAGAGGGGGCAAGCGUUGUUCGGAAUUACUGGGCGUAAAGGGCGCGUAGGCGGCCUGCUAAGUCGAACGUGAAAUCCCUGGGCUCAACCCAGGAACUGCGUCCGAUACUGGUUGGCUUGAAUCCGGGAGAGGGAUGCAGAAUUCCAGGUGUAGCGGUGAAAUGCGUAGAUAUCUGGAGGAAUACCGGUGGCGAAGGCGGCAUCCUGGACCGGCAUUGACGCUGAAGCGCGAAAGCUAGGGGAGCAAACAGG